AGAGUUUGAUCCUGGCUCAGAAUGAACGCUGGCGGCGUGCUUAACACAUGCAAGUCGUACGAGAAACCCCGGCUUGCCGGGGGAGUAAAGUGGCGCACGGGUGAGUAACGCGUGGGUAAUCYACCCUCGAAUUGGGGAUAACACAUCGAAAGGUGUGCUAAUACCGAAUAAGACCACGAUCACUCCGGUGAUCGGGGUCAAAGAUGGCCUCUGCUUGCAAGCUGUCGUUUGAGGAUGAGCCCGCGUACCAUUAGCUAGUUGGUGGGGUAAUGGCCCACCAAGGCAACGAUGGUUAGCUGGUCUGWGAGGAUGGCCAGCCACACUGGAACUGGAACACGGUCCAGACUCCUACGGGAGGCAGCAGUGAGGAAUUUUGCGCAAUGGGGGAAACCCUGACGCAGCAACGCCGCGUGAGUGAAGAAGGCCUUCGGGUUGUAAAGCUCUGUCAAGUGGGAAGAAACUUUUCCRAUCGAAUAAGUCGGGAAAUUGACGGUACUACUGAAGGAAGCACCGGCUAACUCCGUGCCAGCAGCCGCGGUAAUACGGAGGGUGCAAGCGUUAUUCGGAUUUAUUGGGCGUAAAGAGCGUGUAGGUGGUCUGAUAAGUCAGAUGUGAAAGCCCCUGGCUUAACCAGGGAAGUGCAUUUGAAACUAUCAGACUUGAGUACGGGAGGGGGAAGUGGAAUUCCUGGUGUAGAGGUGAAAUUCGUAGAUAUCAGGAGGAAUACCGGUGGCGAAGGCGACUUCCUGGACCGAUACUGACACUGAGACGCGAAAGCGYGGGGAGCAAACAGGAUUAGAUACCCUGGUAGUCC
RNAcentral lists this ribosomal RNA (814 nucleotides) under uncultured bacterium. RNAcentral's name for it is "bacterial SSU rRNA". It matches the Rfam family "Bacterial small subunit ribosomal RNA", at positions 8 to 796 of the family's 1533-position model. The record is from RNAcentral.